CCAAUAGCGUAUAUUAAAGUUGCUGCGGUUGAAAAGCUCGUAGUUGAAUUUCGGAAUUGAUGCAUCGGUCGUGCCUUAAGGGGCAUGAACUGGUGUAGCCAAUUUCUCACCUUCUGGUGAAUUGUUGAUGUUCUUAAUGGGUGUCUCAAUGAACUAGAAUUUUUUACUUUGAAAAAAUUAGAGUGUUUAAAGCAGGCAUUAAUUUGCUUGAAUACAUUAGCAUGGAAUAAUGAAAUAGGACAGUGGUUCCGUUUUGUUGGUUUCUAGGAUCACGUAAUGAUUAAUAGGGACAGUUGGGGGCAUUAGUAUUCAAUUGUCAGAGGUGAAAUUCUUGGAUUUAUUGAAGACUAACUAUUGCGAAAGCAUUUGCCAAGGAUGUUUUCAUUAAUCAAGAACGAAAGUUAGGGGAUCAAAGACGAUUAAGUACGUCGUAGUCCUAACCAUAAACUAUACCGACUAGGAAUCAGACGAUGUUAAUUUUUUAAUGACUCGUUUGGUACCUUACG
Molecule: ribosomal RNA, 506 nt
Filed under: uncultured Glomeromycotina
Lineage: Eukaryota; Fungi; Glomeromycota
Description: partial small subunit ribosomal RNA
Rfam family: Eukaryotic small subunit ribosomal RNA
Source: RNAcentral